Molecule: non-coding RNA, 834 nt
Organism: Onthophagus taurus
Lineage: Eukaryota; Metazoa; Arthropoda; Insecta; Coleoptera; Scarabaeidae
Source: RefSeq, a predicted model, not a curated record
AAAAUUAAAAUCUCUUUUCUUUUUAAAACUAAAAUUUAAUUAAUUAUAUUUUUAUGUUUUAAUUAGGUUUACAUCUGCGGAUUUGAUACCCACACUUUGAGAGACGAAAAAGAUUAACACCAAAACUUUCUUUGGAGUGAGAUAGUUUACCCUUCUUCUAUAUGCUUAAGGAAGUUAAUGUAGAAACCCAACAAGUGGUGUUGAUAAUAAGAAGAUAAGGAAUACAUGGAAAACGCAGAGUUGGAAAAAAAUGAUGUUUAAGGUUUCCACAACGAAUUUUAAUUUGAUUUUAACCCGCAAUAUAAUCCUGGAAAGGAAUCAAACUUAAGAACAAAAUAUUGCGAAGACGAAGCCCAACAAAAAUUCAUAAUCGAUCCAUGAUUACGAGCUGCUCAGCUGGAUUAAAUCUCAAGAUGUGUUUGCGUCCUGUCUGAGAAUUGGGCGAAAAUUUUCCAUCACAACAUUAUAAAAAAGAACAAAACAAACGUUUGGAAUUUUUUUACAACGAGAAUCUUUAAUUCUUCGAAUUUAAUGAUCGAUGGAGACGGGAAACGCUCGAAGUGAGACCAUUCAUUAUGAAUGAAACGAUUAAAAGGAUUUCUGUGACAUUAUAUCUGACAGAUGUCACUUAAACGUCAAACUUUUCAAAUAUCAAUAUUUUAGAAGAUUUCUGUAAUAUUUAAUGCCAAAUUAAAUAAGUGAUUGAAUUGGAGAAAAAUAUCUUUCUGAUAACAUUUCACACCAAAUUUAAUCUCAACAUCAAUCCACUAAGUUAUCAAAGAGGAGAAUCGCUCCAUGUGAUUAUAUUUUUGAUCAGAAAAGCUGAAAUUAAUG